This 216-nucleotide ribosomal RNA is filed under the name Glomeromycotina sp. Its description in RNAcentral is "partial small subunit ribosomal RNA". The stretch from base 44 to 216 matches the Rfam family "Eukaryotic small subunit ribosomal RNA", at positions 690 to 864 of the family's 1831-position model. The record is from RNAcentral. Lineage: Eukaryota; Fungi; Glomeromycota.
GGGUCAGUAGGUUGGUCGUGCCACCGGUACGUACUGGUCUCGCUGAUUCCUCCUUCCUGAAGAACCGUAAUGCCAUUAAUUUGGUGUUGCGGGGAAACAGGACUGUUACUUUGAAAAAAUUAGAGUGUUUAAAGCAAGCUAACGCUUGAAUACAUUAGCAUGGAAUAAUGAAACAGGACGAUCGAUCCUAUUUUGUUGGUUUCUAGGAUUGACGUA